Non-coding RNA from Ailuropoda melanoleuca (giant panda), 46 nucleotides. Lineage: Eukaryota; Metazoa; Chordata; Mammalia; Carnivora; Ursidae. The record is from Rfam.
UGAAAGGUUUUUUUAAAAACCAAAUAUAGUUCUAAAUAAAUAGAUU